GUCUCGGUAGUCUAAAGGCUUAGGACUCUCGCACGGAAUGCAAGAGAUCCGGGUUCGACUCCCGGCCGAGGCA
Molecule: transfer RNA, 73 nt
Filed under: Mycetomoellerius zeteki
Lineage: Eukaryota; Metazoa; Arthropoda; Insecta; Hymenoptera; Formicidae
Description: Trachymyrmex zeteki tRNA
Rfam family: tRNA
About the family: Transfer RNA (tRNA) molecules are approximately 80 nucleotides in length. Their secondary structure includes four short double-helical elements and three loops (D, anti-codon, and T loops).
Source: Rfam by way of RNAcentral